This 59-nucleotide microRNA precursor is filed under the name Ornithorhynchus anatinus (platypus). RNAcentral's name for it is "Oan-Mir-1419-P8_pre stem-loop". Lineage: Eukaryota; Metazoa; Chordata; Mammalia; Monotremata; Ornithorhynchidae. The record is from RNAcentral.
AUUACUGAGAGAUGUCAUCACACGCUACCUCAUUCUGUGAUGUCAUCACUCAGUACCGC